AGGGGAAGGGAAACGCUUUCAGCAGACCUGGGCUGCUCCUCAGGACGUGUCCGCAUGUCCCUCUUGCUUUCCAGUUGCACGCAUGGGCCCACCACUGGGCUUAAGAGACUAUGCGCCCGGCAUGCUGCCCGGACGCCACGACCUGCCGCUACAUCCCCGCGAGUUCUUGCCGAGACCUGUGCCAUUCAGGCCUCCAGGCCCGCUCGGCGCCCGAGCAUAUUUCAUUUCGGAUCUGCGAAUGCCACCCGCUGGACUCCAAGACUACCGACCACCACCUGCCGGGCCCCAGGAUAACCCACCGAUGCCUGCCGGGCCCCAGGACAACCCACCAUGCCUGCCGGGCCCCAGGACAACCCACCACCGCCUGCUGGGCGCCAGGCCUACCCACCACCGCCUGCCGGGCCCCAGGACAACCCACCACCGCCUGCCGGGCCCCAGGACUACCAACCACCAAGUGCCGGGCUCCCGGACUACCCACCGCCGCCUGCCCGGCCCCACGACUACCCACCGCCGCCUGCGGGGGUCCCAGGAAAACCCACCACCAAGUGCCGGGCCUCAGGACCAUGGAUGGCCGCCCUCUGCGAGCCUAAACUUCGCAUGCUGUGACAUUCCCAGAGCCGACUUCGAUCCCGGCCCUGGCCCCGUGGCCAACAGCAGCUCCCGCGGCUCCUCCCCAGCGAAGGACAUGGACAACGCCAAGGUGAGCAUGGCCGUGAAGGGGCCCCCAGCCCAUCCAGGGCCCCCGUUCCUGGGAGGCCCCAUGCCGUCCCACGUGGACUAUGGGUCGCCGCCGCCACCACUGCUCUGCAGAUCCUUCGGGCCUCGGCCGAUGUCUCCUAGGCCACCGCAACCAUUCGUUGCACGCAUGGGCCCACCACUGGGCUUAAGAGACUAUGCGCCCGGCAUGCUGCCCGGACGCCACGACCUGCCGCUACAUCCCCGCGAGUUCUUGCCUGGACCUGUGCCAUUCAGGCCUCCAGGCCCGCUCGGCGCCCGAGCAUAUUUCAUUUCGGAUCUGCGAAUGCCACCCGCUGGACUCCAAGACUACCGACCACCACCUGCCGGGCCCCAGGAUAACCCACCGAUGCCUGCCGGGCCCCAGGACAACCCACCACCGCCUGCUGGGCGCCAGGCCUACCCACCACCACGUGCCGGGCACCAGCACUACCCACCACCGCCUGCCAGGCCCCAGGACUACCAACCACCAAGUGCCGGGCUCCAGGACUACCCACCGCCGCCUGCCCGGCCCCACGACUACCCACCGCCGCCUGCGGGGGUCCCAGGAAAACCCACCACCAAGUGCCGGGCCUCAGGACCAUGGAUGGCCGCCCUCUGCGAGCCUAAACUUCGCAUGCUGUGACAUUCCCAGAGCCGACUUCGGUGAGCCUCUCCAGGGCCUCGAGUCCUGGGACUCCAUGACAGCAUGCUGCAUUGCCCCGA
RNAcentral lists this long non-coding RNA (1440 nucleotides) under Cavia porcellus (domestic guinea pig). RNAcentral describes it as "lncRNA (ENSCPOG00000032227.1)". The record is from RNAcentral. Lineage: Eukaryota; Metazoa; Chordata; Mammalia; Rodentia; Caviidae.